This 254-nucleotide ribosomal RNA is filed under the name uncultured bacterium. RNAcentral's name for it is "partial 16S ribosomal RNA". It matches the Rfam family "Bacterial small subunit ribosomal RNA", at positions 524 to 776 of the family's 1533-position model. The record is from RNAcentral.
CACGUAGGGUGCGAGCGUUGUCCGGAUUUAUUGGGCGUAAAGGGCCCGUAGGCGGUUUGGUAAGUCGGGUGUGAAAACUCUGGGCUCAACCCAGAGACGCCACCCGAUACUGCUAUGACUUGAGUCUGGUAGGGGAGUGCGGAAUUCCUGGUGUAGCGGUGAAAUGCGCAGAUAUCAGGAGGAACACCGGUGGCGAAGGCGGCACUCUGGGCCAGUACUGACGCUGAUGGGCGAAAGCGUGGGGAGCAAACAGG